Molecule: ribosomal RNA, 842 nt
Filed under: Klebsiella pneumoniae
Lineage: Bacteria; Pseudomonadati; Pseudomonadota; Gammaproteobacteria; Enterobacterales; Enterobacteriaceae
Description: partial 23S ribosomal RNA
Rfam family: Bacterial large subunit ribosomal RNA
Source: RNAcentral
GGGACACGUGGUAUCCUGUCUGAAUAUGGGGGGACCAUCCUCCAAGGCUAAAUACUCCUGACUGACCGAUAGUGAACCAGUACCGUGAGGGAAAGGCGAAAAGAACCCCGGCGAGGGGAGUGAAAAAGAACCUGAAACCGUGUACGUACAAGCAGUGGGAGCACCUUCGGGUGUGACUGCGUACCUUUUGUAUAAUGGGUCAGCGACUUAUAUUCUGUAGCAAGGUUAACCGUAUAGGGGAGCCGCAGGGAAACCGAGUCUUAACUGGGCGUUAAGUUGCAGGGUAUAGACCCGAAACCCGGUGAUCUAGCCAUGGGCAGGUUGAAGGUUGGGUAACACUAACUGGAGGACCGAACCGACUAAUGUUGAAAAAUUAGCGGAUGACUUGUGGCUGGGGGUGAAAGGCCAAUCAAACCGGGAGAUAGCUGGUUCUCCCCGAAAGCUAUUUAGGUAGCGCCUCGUGAACUCAUCUUCGGGGGUAGAGCACUGUUUCGGCUAGGGGGUCAUCCCGACUUACCAACCCGAUGCAAACUACGAAUACCGAAGAAUGUUAUCACGGGAGACACACGGCGGGUGCUAACGUCCGUCGUGAAGAGGGAAACAACCCAGACCGCCAGCUAAGGUCCCAAAGUCAUGGUUAAGUGGGAAACGAUGUGGGAAGGCACAGACAGCCAGGAUGUUGGCUUAGAAGCAGCCAUCAUUUAAAGAAAGCGUAAUAGCUCACUGGUCGAGUCGGCCUGCGCGGAAGAUGUAACGGGGCUAAACCAUGCACCGAAGCUGCGGCAGCGACACUAUGUGUUGUUGGGUAGGGGAGCGUUCUGUAAGCCUGCGAAGGUGUGCUG